This is a long non-coding RNA of Astatotilapia calliptera (eastern happy), 1531 nucleotides long. NCBI's taxonomy places the organism in Eukaryota, Metazoa, Chordata, Actinopteri, Cichliformes, Cichlidae. The record is from Ensembl.
GUGGUGGAGGAGAAGGUUAAGCUGAUGGUUCAUGAAGAUUUCGGAUGAGAUUCGCUGGACGGCCUGGAUGACAGGCAGCCUGAGAGGGGGAACACAGUGAAGCUGAUUGGCUCAGAGAACUCAGGCAGAGAGUUUAUUGGUUAAAAAAAGUGUCGUAAUAAAGCAGAACAGAACUAACGAAGCAAAGCUGGAAUGAUGGCAGAAGAGAUCUUCCUCAUUGAGCUUAAUUAAAAUCUUCAUCUCUAUGUGAGGCUCGUGGCACCACGCCUGCAAAGGUGGAUGUUUCAGUCUGUAAACCUGGAAAAAACGCCGGCCGAUAAAUAAUCCCAUUUCAUUUUGGAAAUAUUUCACAAAGCAGCGUGAAACUCUGCUGCUCAUCAUUUUUUUCCAUAAUUAUCUUUAUUUGAGCUGAAAGACUCGAUCAGAUCAGAGCGAGGAUAAGCAAAGGUUGCUUGACUCUGAAACUUCAAAAUAAAAGCCUGUCAUUUAGCUUUGAUUCUUUGAGGGAGUAAAAGAUUUGAAAUGGAGCUUAUAGGUUUCAUCUGAUGCUGUUUUAGAUUUUCUGUGUGUGUUUGAGCCGUGAAGGCUGUGAAUACCUUUGAGUCACAGUAAUCCACCUGCAUGAGGGCCGUCUGUCCGUCUGUCAGCUUAAAUCCUGCUCAGCUCCAGUUUCAGCAACAUGUUCACUCGAUCACACUCUUCAGCACUUCAGCAGUGCGACCAGGUUCAGAUCAGAAAUAACUGAAAGGAAGGUCUGAUGUGUUCUUUUUGCACUUUAUCUUUCAGGACACGGUUAUCUCAGCCCACAGCAGCAGGCUGAAAAACCAUCUGAGAUAAUGUGCACAUCUGCAACCCAACGGCUCCUCGACAACACGAACAUCGGUGAUGCAAACUCUGCGUCUCUCACAUCCUGGAUCAAAGACAUGACAGCCAACACUGAGGAGGUCAAAGGCCUACCUACGUUCACUCUCACACUCCAGUGGAGGCAUCAGGGGUCACUCGAGGUUCAGCGUUUUGCCCAAGGACACUUUGCACACAACCCACUCGACCCUCUGAUCCCCCUCUGCCCCCAAAGCACAACAACCAAUGACAGCAAGCAUAACUCGGAAUAAAGGUGGAAAAAUGCUAACAAGGCAAACUUUGCUGUGUGUGGAUGCUAUUUCAAAUUUACUGAUUUAAUUUAAACUCAGACCACUGAAAAAGUGUAAUAUUGAUCUCAUUCACUGAGUUUGUUCUUAAAUUUCACUUUUAACAGUGUAAAAAAACAAGCGUUAAACUUAACCACAGGUAUGAGAUAUGUGGAUAUAAAAGGAAAAAUAACAAUACUGUAAAUCUACUGUGAUCCGGAGAUGGCUCAGGCUAAAUGCUGGACUAUCAUAAUAUCACUAUUACGAUUAUUGUGGCAAAAAUAAUUCAUGAUAAAUGUAUUUUUACAAUAUCACAAUAAUUAAAACAUAUAAACUGCUUUGUUGUGUUGUGUCUCGUUUUGUGUUGUUUGUAACAAAAAAGAAAAAAUUACAUGUUAUUACUG